This 291-nucleotide ribosomal RNA is filed under the name Virgibacillus pantothenticus. RNAcentral describes it as "partial 16S rRNA". It matches the Rfam family "Bacterial small subunit ribosomal RNA", at positions 57 to 334 of the family's 1533-position model. Lineage: Bacteria; Bacillati; Bacillota; Bacilli; Caryophanales; Bacillaceae. The record is from RNAcentral.
CGGGAAGCAAGCAGAUCUCCUUCGGGGGUGACGCUUGUGGAACGAGCGGCGGACGGGUGAGUAACACGUGGGCAACCUACCUGUAAGACUGGGAUAACUCCGGGAAACCGGGGCUAAUACCGGAUGAUACAUAUCGUCGCAUGACGAGAUGUUGAAAGGCGGCAUAUGCUGUCACUUACAGAUGGGCCCGCGGCGCAUUAGCUAGUUGGUGAGAUAAAAGCUCACCAAGGCGACGAUGCGUAGCCGACCUGAGAGGGUGAUCGGCCACACUGGGACUGAGACACGGCCCAG